GUAGGGACCAAGCGUUGUCCGGAUUUAUUGGGCGUAAAGCGCUCGUAGGCGGUUCGGUAAGUCGGGUGUGAAACCCCUGGGCUCAACCCGGGGACGCCACCCGAUACUGCUGUGACUCGAGUUCGGUUGGGGAGCGGGGAAUUCCUGGUGUAGCGGUGAAAUGCGCAGAUAUCAGGAGGAACACCGGUGGCGAAGGCGCCGCUCUGGGCCGAUACUGACGCUGAGGAGCGAAAGCGUGGGGAGCAAACAGGAUUAGAUACCCUGGUAGUCCACGCCGUAAACGUUGGGCACUAGGUGUGGGUCCUUAUCAACGGGAUCCGUGCCGUCGCUAACGCAUUAAGUGCCCCGCCUGGGGAGUACGGCCGCAAGGCUA
Molecule: ribosomal RNA, 373 nt
Filed under: uncultured bacterium
Lineage: Bacteria
Description: bacterial SSU rRNA
Rfam family: Bacterial small subunit ribosomal RNA
Source: RNAcentral